AAGCCAGCAACAACUCGAGUCAAAGUUCAUUCAAUAAUGAUCCUUCCGUAGGGUGAACCUGCGGAAGGAUCAUUAUUGAAUGAACUUUGACUCGAGUUGUUGCUGGCUUCUUGGAGCAUGUGCACACUUUGGUCCUCAUUCUAUUUAACCCCUCUUGUGCACUUUUCUGUAGAGCCCCUGAGAUGUUUAAAUGUUCAGGUGUUUCCUGAGUUGAAGGUUUGCUGUGCGAAAGUCAGCUUUCCUUCAGUUUUAUCUCUAGGGAUUCUAUGUAUUUUUAAUACACUCCUAAUGAAUGUAAUGGAAUGUUAUAUUGGUUUUUUGAACAUAAAUACAACUUUCAACAAUGGAUCUCUUGGCUCUCGCAUCGAUGAAGAACGCAGCGAAAUGCGAUAAGUAAUGUGAAUUGCAGAAUUCAGUGAAUCAUCGAAUCUUUGAACGCACCUUGCGCUCCUUGGUAUUCCGAGGAGCAUGCCUGUUUGAGUGUCAUUAAAUUUCUCAAUCCCUUCCUUUUUGUCUCUAAUGAACAAAGUAGGUUGGCAUUGGAAUGUGGAAGUUUGCAGGCUUCUUGUAAAGUCAGCUCUUCUGAAAAGUAUUAGCUUGGACGGUUUUGAGAAUAAAACUAGCAUUGGUGUGAUAAUUAUCUUACGCCAUUUGUGAAAAAUCUCAGACAGUUUAGCUUCUAACAUAAAACAUAUCAUCUUGGUUCUUUUGGACCUUGCUUUUAAUAAUUUGACCUCAAAUCAGGUAGGACAUAGCCCGCUGACUCUGUAAGCAUAUCAAUAGGCCGGAGGAAAAUCAUUAUUGAAUGAACU
This 812-nucleotide ribosomal RNA is filed under the name Tricholosporum sp. BAB-5013. RNAcentral describes it as "eukaryotic LSU rRNA". The stretch from base 333 to 486 matches the Rfam family "5.8S ribosomal RNA". The record is from RNAcentral. Lineage: Eukaryota; Fungi; Basidiomycota; Agaricomycetes; Agaricales; Asproinocybaceae.